Molecule: ribosomal RNA, 328 nt
Filed under: uncultured eukaryote
Lineage: Eukaryota
Description: partial 18S ribosomal RNA
Rfam family: Eukaryotic small subunit ribosomal RNA
Source: RNAcentral
CCCUUAGAUGUUCUGGGCCGCACGCGCGCUACACUGAAACGUUCAACGAGUAUUCACCUUGCCCGGGAGGGUUGGGUAAUCUUUUGAAAACGCUUCGUGAUGGGGAUAGAUUAUUGCAAUUAUUAAUCUUCAACGAGGAAUGCCUAGUAAGCGCAAGUCAUCAGCUUGCGUUGAUUACGUCCCUGCCCUUUGUACACACCGCCCGUCACUCCUACCGAUUGAAUGGUCCGGUGAAGCGUUCGGACCGUGGCCUUUGGACGGUUCGCCGUCUGUUGGCUGCGGGAAGUUCGUUAAACCUUAUCAUUUAGAGGAAGGAGAAGUCGUAACA